CGGCAAGAUGCUGUCUGGAGUUGAUAGGAGAAAUCCCACUUUUCCUGACUUUGAAGCAGGAAGGGUAUCACUAGCAGAUAAAUGAAAAGCCUGAAGGAAAUUGAUAGAAGAGGAAGAAAGUGGGGAUCGGGAGAGGAAGAAAAGAUAAAGGAAUGUUAGACUAGCAGUCUCACUCAACUUGUAGAAGCAAAAAUGUUCACCAUGACUUGACAACCAGCCUCUCCAAAUAAAAGUCAGCUGAACUUGACAAUGCUAUUAAGCUCUGGCUUCUUUUUUCUUUUCUGGUGACAAGUGGUUUUAGGCCUUGAAGUCUGGACAACUGUCAUCUCUUCUACAUUGAAACAGUUGGAUCAACUACUCCAUUUUGAAGGCUGACACAAAUCAGAUAUCCAGAAUUAAUCACGGAGCCCUUUGGACCUUGUUCUCAAAUCACAGUAGGCAAAUGAAACAUAUUAACAGUACAGACAGAAUUAUGACCACCUCCAUCAGCCAAAAUGGAUAAUCCUGGAAUAAAAUAAGAAGUAAAACGGUCAGCCUCUAUUGUAUUUGGGAAUUAGAGGACUUCUCUAAAGCUUGUACAGAAAUGGACCAUAACCCCAACUUUCCAAGUCCUACUUUACACACGCUGAGCAGUCACCUCAGAGUUUGGA
This 650-nucleotide long non-coding RNA is filed under the name Zalophus californianus (California sea lion). RNAcentral's name for it is "lncRNA (ENSZCAG00015004090.1)". Lineage: Eukaryota; Metazoa; Chordata; Mammalia; Carnivora; Otariidae. The record is from RNAcentral.